RNAcentral lists this ribosomal RNA (253 nucleotides) under uncultured bacterium. RNAcentral's name for it is "partial 16S ribosomal RNA". It matches the Rfam family "Bacterial small subunit ribosomal RNA", at positions 524 to 776 of the family's 1533-position model. The record is from RNAcentral.
CACGUAGGGCGCAAGCGUUGUCCGGAAUUAUUGGGCGUAAAGAGCUCGUAGGCGGUCUGUUGCGUCUGCUGUGAAAACUCGGGGCUUAACCCCGAGCCUGCAGUGGAUACGGGCAGACUAGAGGUAGGUAGGGGAGAAUGGAAUUCCCGGUGUAGCGGUGAAAUGCGCAGAUAUCGGGAGGAACACCGGUGGCGAAGGCGGUUCUCUGGGCAUUACCUGACGCUAAUGAGCGAAAGUGUGGGGAGCAAACAGG